CGCAAUGGGCGAAAGCCUGACGGAGCAAUACCGCGUGGGGGAGGAAGGCUCUUGGGUUGUAAACUCCUUUUCUCAGGGAAGAAGGUCUGACGGUACCUGAGGAAUCAGCAUCGGCUAACUCCGUGCCAGCAGCCGCGGUAAUACGGAGGAUGCAAGCGUUAUCCGGAAUCAUUGGGCGUAAAGCGUCCGUAGGUGGCAUUUCAAGUCUGCUGUCAAAGGUCGGGGCUUAACUCCGAACAGGCAGUGGAAACUGAGAAGCUAGAGUAUGGUAGGGGCAGAGGGAAUUCCUGGUGUAGCGGUGAAAUGCGUAGAGAUCAGGAAGAACACCGGUGGCGAAAGCGCUCUGCUAGGCCAUAACUGACACUCAGGGACGAAAGCUAGGGGAGCGAAUGGGAUUAGAUACC
RNAcentral lists this ribosomal RNA (404 nucleotides) under Gloeocapsa sp. 8. Its description in RNAcentral is "bacterial SSU rRNA". It matches the Rfam family "Bacterial small subunit ribosomal RNA", at positions 367 to 786 of the family's 1533-position model. Lineage: Bacteria; Bacillati; Cyanobacteriota; Cyanophyceae; Chroococcidiopsidales; Chroococcidiopsidaceae. The record is from RNAcentral.